AGAGUUUGAUCAUGGCUCAGGACGAACGCUGGCGGCGCGCCUAACACAUGCAAGUCGAACGGAGCUUAGAGAGCUUGCUUUUUAAGCUUAGUGGCGAACGGGUGAGUAACGCGUGAGUAACCUGCCCUAGAGUGGGGGACAACAGUUGGAAACGACUGCUAAUACCGCAUAAGCCCACGGUACCGCAUGGCACUGAGGGAAAAGGAUUUAUUCGCUUUAGGAUGGACUCGCGUCCAAUUAGCUAGUUGGUGAGGUAACGGCCCACCAAGGCGACGAUUGGUAGCCGGACUGAGAGGUUGAACGGCCACCAUUGGGACUGAGACACGGCCCAGACUCCUACGGGAGGCAGCA
Molecule: ribosomal RNA, 351 nt
Filed under: uncultured bacterium
Lineage: Bacteria
Description: bacterial SSU rRNA
Rfam family: Bacterial small subunit ribosomal RNA
Source: RNAcentral